This 30-nucleotide small RNA is filed under the name Bombyx mori (domestic silkworm). RNAcentral's name for it is "ovarian small RNA-8303". Lineage: Eukaryota; Metazoa; Arthropoda; Insecta; Lepidoptera; Bombycidae. The record is from RNAcentral.
UGAUAUUUCAUCAGAUGAACUCAACACUUU